ACUAAAUCCUUUUGUCUGCUGCAGGAGAACAAAGGAUUGAUAAUGGCAGCAAUACGCAACGCCAGGGAAACCACCAAAAACCGGUGCAGAAAAUUUUCUGCCGAUUGUCGAAAAUUAUCUCGGAAGAACGGGGAAGCAAUUGGAAUACUUUUAAGUUCUAGGUCGCCCACCAGUAUAAUGCGGGAAUACAUUUAAGUUCUAGGUCGCCCACCAGUAUAAUGCGGGAAUACAUUUAAGUUCUAGGUCGCCCACCAGUAAAAUGCGGGAAUACUUUUAAGUUCUAGGUCGCUCACCAGUA
RNAcentral lists this long non-coding RNA (298 nucleotides) under Nicotiana tabacum (common tobacco). RNAcentral's name for it is "long non-coding RNA (NTAB_LNC003966)". The record is from RNAcentral. Lineage: Eukaryota; Viridiplantae; Streptophyta; Magnoliopsida; Solanales; Solanaceae.